UACGUAGGGUGCAAGCGUUGUCCGGAAUUAUUGGGCGUAAAGAGCUCGUAGGCGGUUUGUCGCGUCUGCUGUGAAAACUCGGGGCUUAACUCCGGGCCUGCAGUGGGUACGGGCAGACUAGAGUGCGGUAGGGGAGACUGGAAUUCCUGGUGUAGCGGUGAAAUGCGCAGAUAUCAGGAGGAACACCGGUGGCGAAGGCGGGUCUCUGGGCCGUAACUGACGCUGAGGAGCGAAAGCGUGGGGAGCGAACAG
This 252-nucleotide ribosomal RNA is filed under the name uncultured bacterium. RNAcentral's name for it is "partial 16S ribosomal RNA". It matches the Rfam family "Bacterial small subunit ribosomal RNA", at positions 524 to 775 of the family's 1533-position model. The record is from RNAcentral.